Molecule: long non-coding RNA, 2901 nt
Organism: Solanum tuberosum (potato)
Lineage: Eukaryota; Viridiplantae; Streptophyta; Magnoliopsida; Solanales; Solanaceae
Exons: 6
Source: RefSeq, a predicted model, not a curated record
CAGAAAUGCGCGCGCAAAACGGCACGCUGGGUACAAUUAAGAAUAAAAAUAUACUGUAAUAGUUUAAAGAGUUCUAAUUUUUUACUAAAAAAUUCUCUGCUUAUUGCUAAGAACAUUCUCCGACUCCGAGGUACUUAUAGGGCUGUGAUUAUUCACUUCAGAUGGAAGAAAGCGUGGUUUGUGCCGGAGAUAUAUGACAUUCCACAUCAGGGGCAUAAGAGCAUCCGAAAAGGGAUCCCUGGAAAGUUUGACUCUGAACUUUGGAAUUUCAGAUCUUAUCAGUAUACUGAACAUGCAAGCCCAACUCUGUGCUAUUGCAGGGAUUUCUUGGUAGUUCUAUGUUGAAUUUUGGAGUUCCGAACUGCUUACUUGUAAACUAGAGAGGGAUCUUUUGGGAGUUAGACUUUGAACGUUGGAGUUUCAGAUCUGUAAACUGAACAGGCAAGCCCCCCAUUCUGCACUAUUGCAAGUAUUCAUGAUGUAUUAAAUUUUAGCUUAUAGAUCUAGAUUUACCUUAUUCAGCUUCAAGUGCUCAUGCCAUUUGGUUGUCCAUUAACAUGAAUAAAUAGAAUCUUUACCUGCGAUUUUUGUUUUAUGAAGACAGUCGAUUGAGUUUUGUAGUUGACUGGAGAUCAGGUUACAAAAAUGGAAACAACGAAGAGCUCUUGAAGUCAAGCAUUAGUUAAGAUUUGGUACAGGCAUUGACAAAACAAAGUUAAGUCUGGACUGUACAAAUGGUCUUUUUUUAAUAAACUUACAGAAUAUUGAUUCCCCUGUGGCAUUAAAUUGUCAGCAUGUGACCAAGUGUGAAUUCUAUUUUUUUGAAUCUUAGUUACAUAAAUGACCCUGCUUAAUUUGCAUGUACUAUCACUUAGAAAAUAGAGUGAAGGAGCAGAGUUGCAAGUAAAAUGAAUUAAAAAGUUGUAUUAGAUGGGGGCAUUCCGAGAAUCGAACUCGGGACCUCUCGCACCCAAAGCGAGAAUCAUACCACUAGACCAAAUGCCCAGUUCUUGUUGGUCCCUCAGUGGUAAUAAUAGUUUGAAGUUGAUAUUGGUUGUCUGGAGCUUGUACCAUUCUGUGCAAUAAUUUUCUAGGUGAGAUAAACAUUCUCCAUUGUUUGAGCCUUUGAAAAGUUAAAAUCAUCUUAGAGUAAAUAAUUUUUUUUAUAAAUUAAGGGGCAUUCCGAGAAUCGAACUCGGGACCUCUCGCACCCAAAGCGAGAAUCAUACCACUAGACCAAAUGCCCAGUUCUUGUUGGUCCCUCAGUGGUAAUAAUAGUUUGAAGUUGAUAUUGGUUGUCUGGAGCUUGUACCAUUUUGUGCAAAAAUUUUCUAGGUGAGAUAAACAUUCUCCAUUGUUUGAGCCUUUGAAAAGUUAAAUCAUCUUAGAGUAAAUAAAAACUUUUAUAAAUUAAGGGGCAUUCCGAGAAUCGAACUCGGGACCUCUCGCACCCAAAGCGAGAAUCAUACCACUAGACCAAAUGCCCAUCGUUGACAUUGUCUUAUUUGAAUUUUAGUCAAAUGUAUUUUAGCUUUGUCAGCUAUUUGAUCACACAAUUGUCAUUGCUUACUGUAAUAUAGAAUUCAAAUAAUCCGUAUUUUACACCAUAUGAUCUUCAUUUGCUUGCUUAAAUGUUCUUGAGUACUUAAUUAUCAAAAAAAAUGUUCUUGAGUACUUUUUAUUUGGAUGUGAGGUGUAUAUAGAAGGUUGCUUAAAAUAAUAUGCCUCUGCAGUUCCUCAAAUUACUUUUCUCGAUGCCUAUAGAUGCUAUCAGCUUUGGUUGUUACUGUCACUUGUAUAUUUACAAUCCUAUGCUAUCAUACUCAACCCUUUGGUCAUCUGGAAUCCAAAACACGUGAGAUCUGUGUAGUGAUUAAGAACUGUCAUUGGACAUGAGGCCAGGUCUCCGGCGUUAGCUGAAUUAAUAUUUCAUGUUUGAGCUUCAUCGUUCUAGUUACAGCUGAAGCAAAUAAAAUCUCCACUAAGGAUUAUCCCAUUGAUAGUUAACCAUGUGCUUUUUUCUGGGUUCUCUUACUUCCAGUUCUCUUUUGGAUACCUUCUUUGUUAAGCUAUAUCAUUAUCACUUGUUUCAUGGAAUGGUGCAGCUCAUGUUAUGCGAUUUUGGGUGCAAAGCAACAUGGUACAAUGAAGUUCAUGCUUCUUUGUUUCACUCAAGUGAAAUGAAAAUGGCUCAUGAACUGUGGAUAUCCGUUUCAUUCCUUAUUUUGACUUGAAAUUCAGAGAGCUUCCUUGAUUAAUGAUAUCAGUUGUUAUUGUAAACUUCCUUGACCUGUAAAUGACCUUGUAUCUAUAAUGAUUCUUUGAUGUUACGACAAAUCCAUGUACCAACUUCAUUAAGUUUUGCCUGCUUUGUCAAAUUGAGAAUGGAUGGCAAAAAAGCAUAUCUGAAAUGAUGGCUUGUGAUAUUUGAGAUACUCGAGAACUUAUCUGUCCAACAUUUUAUAUUUAGGGAUCUUUUGGGAGUUAGAUGUUGAACGUUGGAGUUUCAGAUCUUUAAACUGAACAGGCAAGCCCAACUCUGCACCAUUGCAAGUAUUCAUGAUGUAUUAUUUUAAUUUUUAGCUUAUAGAUCUAGAUUUACUCUUAUUCAGCUUCAAGUGCUCAUGCCAUUGGGUUUAUCCAUUAACAUGAAUUAAAAGAAUCUUUACCUGCAAAUUUUGUUUUAUGAAGACAGUCGAUUGAGUUUUGUAGUUGACUGGAGAUCAGCUUACAAAAAUGGAAACAAUGAAGAGCUCUUGAAGUCAAGCAUUAGGACAUCAAUUUGCUGAUUGUUUUACAAAAUACUACUACUUGUCCAGCUGGUACAUUGUUGACUACAAGGAGAUUGAAUUAUUUUUUGCAUUAAACUUUUAAAAAAAGAGGGGCAUUCCGGGAAUCGAA